GGAAUUUUCCGCAAUGGGCGAAAGCCUGACGGAGCAACGCCGCGUGAGGGAUGAAGGCCUCUGGGCUGUAAACCUCUUUUAUCAAGGAAGAAGAUCUGACGGUACUUGAUGAAUAAGCCACGGCUAAUUCCGUGCCAGCAGCCGCGGUAAUACGGGAGUGGCAAGCGUUAUCCGGAAUUAUUGGGCGUAAAGCGUCCGCAGGCGGUCUGUCAAGUCUGCUGUUAAAGCGUGGAGCUUAACUCCAUUUCGGCAGUGGAAACUGACAGACUAGAGUGUGGUAGGGGCAGAGGGAAUUCCCGGUGUAGCGGUGAAAUGCGUAGAUAUCGGGAAGAACACCGGUGGCGAAGGCGCUCUGCUGGGCCAUAACUGACGCUCAUGGACGAAAGCCAGGGGAGCGAAAGGGAUUAGAUACCCCAGUAGUC
Molecule: ribosomal RNA, 422 nt
Filed under: uncultured cyanobacterium
Lineage: Bacteria; Bacillati; Cyanobacteriota
Description: bacterial SSU rRNA
Rfam family: Bacterial small subunit ribosomal RNA
Source: RNAcentral